Long non-coding RNA from Phasianus colchicus (ring-necked pheasant), 1855 nucleotides. The record is from Ensembl. Lineage: Eukaryota; Metazoa; Chordata; Aves; Galliformes; Phasianidae.
AUGGCCCCAAAAGUGCAAAAAAGGAACCCAAAGUCCCAUAGAAUGGACUCCAAACCCCAUAGAAUGACCCCAAAAUCCCACAGAAUGGGCCCCAAAAUCCCACAGAAUGGCCCCAAAAUCCUAUGGAUUUCAAAAUCCCACAAAAUGGACCCAAAAUCCCACAAAAUGGCCCCAAAAGUGCAAAAAAGGAACCCAAAGUCCCAUAGAAUGGACCCCAAACCCCAUAGAAUGACCCCAAAAUCCCACAAAAUGGACCCAAAAACCCACAGAACGGACCCAAAACCCCAUGGAUCGACUUCAAAAUCCCAUAGAAAGGCCCCAAAAUCCCACAAAAUGGCCCCAAAACCCUAUGGGCUGACUUCAAAAUCCCACAGAAUGGACCCAAAAUCCCAUAAAAUGGACCCAAAACCCCAUGGAUUGACUUCAAAAUCCCACAAAAUGGCCCCAAAAUCCCACAGAAUGGCCCCAAAAUCCCACAGAAUGGCCCCAAAAUCCCACAGAAUGGCCCCAAAACCCUAUGGGCUGACUUCAAAAUCCCAUAGAAUGGCCCCAAAAUCCCAUAAAAUGCCCCAAAAACCCAUAAAAUGGCCCCAAAAUCCUACAGACUUCAUAAUCCCACAAAAUACCCCAAAAUCCCAUAGAAUGGACCCCAAAUCUCACAGAACGACCCCAAAAUCCCACAAAAUGGCCCCAAAACCCCAUGGAUUGACUUCAAAAUCCCACAGAAUGGCCCCAAAAUCCCAUAAAAUGGCCCCAAAAUCCUACGGGCUGACUUCAAAAUCCCAUAGAAUGACCCCAAAUCCCAUAAAAAGGCCCCGAAAUCCCACAGAAUGGCCCCGAAAUCCUAUGGGCUGACUUCAAAAUCCCACAGAAUGGCCCCAAAAUCCCAUAAAAUGCCCCAAAAUCCCACAGACUUCAAAAUCCCAUAGAAUGGCCCCAAAAUCCCAUAGAAUGGACCCCAACUCUCACAGAACGACCCCAAAAUCCCACAAAAUGGGCCCAAAAUCCUAUGGACUGGCUUCAAAAUCCCACAAAAUGGACCCAAAAACCCACAGAACGGACCCAAAACCCCAUGGAUCGACUUCAAAAUCCCACAGAAUGGACCCAAAAUCCUAUGGGCUGACUUCAAAAUCCCAUAGAAUGCCCCAAAAUCCCAUAAAAAGACCCCAACUCUCACAGAACGACCCCAAAAUCCUAAAAAAUGGGCCCAAAAUCCUAUGGACUGGCUUCAAAAUCCCACAAAAAGGACCAAAAAACCAAAGAACGGACCCAAAACCCCAUGGAUCGACUUCAAAAUCCCACAGAAUGGCCCCAAAAAUCCCAUAAAAAGGCCCCGAAAUCCCAAGGACUUCAAAAUCCCAUACAAUGCCCCAAAAUCCCACAAAAUGGGCCCAAAAUCCCACAAAACGGCCCCAAAAUGGGCCCCAAAUGCAUAAAAGGGACCUGAAAUCCCACAGAACAGACCCCAUAAACCCUCAGGCCACCUCCUAACAGGACUUAAUUAACGGCUCAUUAAUGACCAAUUAAUUAAUUACCCACUUAUAAGUAGAGCUCUGGCCAUACUGCAGGCUGGGGGUGGUGCAGGCUGACGGAUUUGACCCCAUAAAUCCCCCCCAAACCACCCCAUAACCCCCCCAAACCACCCCAUAACACCCCUCUGAGACCCUUUAGGGCUUAAUUAACAACUCAUUAAUGACUAAUUAACUAACGACCCACCUGUAAGAAGAUUUCCAGCCAUACUGCAGGCUGGGGGUGGUGCAGGCUGACGGAUUUNNNNNNNNNNNNNNNNNNNNNNNNNNNNNNNNNNNNNNNNNNNNNNNNNNNNNNNNNNNNNNNNNNNNNNNNNNNNNNNNNN